GACGAACGCUGGCGGCGUGCUUAACACAUGCAAGUCGAACGGAAAGGCCCUGCUUUUGUGGGGUGCUCGAGUGGCGAACGGGUGAGUAACACGUGAGUAACCUGCCCUUGACUUUGGGAUAACUUCAGGAAACUGGGGCUAAUACCCGAUAGGAUCUCCUGCUGCAUGGUGUGGGUUGGAAAGUUUCGGCGGUUGGGGAUGGACUCGCGGCUUAUCAGCUUGUUGGUGUGGUAGUGGCUUACCAAGGCUUUGACGGGUAGCCGGCCUGAGAGGGUGAACGGGCACAUUGGGACUGAGAUACGGACCAGACUCCUACGGGAGGCAGCAGUGGGGAAUAUUGCACAAUGGGCGGAAGCCUGAUGCAGCAACGCCGCGUGCGGGAUGACGGCCUUCGGGUUGUAAACCGCUUUCGCAUGUGACGAAGCGUGAGUGACGGUAAUGGGUAAAGAAGCACCGGCUAACUACGUG
This 468-nucleotide ribosomal RNA is filed under the name uncultured bacterium. Its description in RNAcentral is "partial 16S ribosomal RNA". It matches the Rfam family "Bacterial small subunit ribosomal RNA", at positions 28 to 507 of the family's 1533-position model. The record is from RNAcentral.